Phyllopteryx taeniolatus (common seadragon) is the source of this 2438-nucleotide long non-coding RNA. RefSeq lists it as uncharacterized. Lineage: Eukaryota; Metazoa; Chordata; Actinopteri; Syngnathiformes; Syngnathidae. The transcript has 3 exons. The record is from RefSeq and is a predicted model, not a curated record.
AUCCAUUGAUUGAAGGCAGCAAAGGACUUAUGUUGUGAUGGAGUCUGCAAAAAAGAGGAUGGCAACCUGCACGGUUUGUAACUUGCGCAUUGAAGACACAAAAACAACGACGUCGAACAUCGUCCGUCACAAUAAAACUCACAGACAGGUAAGCUAAUUUAACAGUUUAGCUAGCUGGUCAAACAUUAGGUUUCAUAGACUAGUUUGGCACGAUUAAAAAAAAUUGAAAAAAUGAUGUGAUUGUGAAUGUUUUAGUACAGCUAAGUAACGUAACUAGAGGUGGGACAGUUUAUGAUAAUUGUCCGAAUUGUCUGAAAUGAAAAAAUGUCACAAUGAAAACUAUGACCCGUGCUCUGCACACAAUAACAAAUAACUAUAUCAAGCCAAUGUAGAAGAAAUUAUGUUUUACAAAAAUGAAAAAAAGCUCAAAGGACAAGUACCCUUUAUGUAUUUUUAAUGUUUGUAUUAAUGCUGCCCUAUUUUUCAAAGGAAGUCUUCACCACACUGUUUUUCUUCUGAAUGUUCUCAUGGUGGUUUUCUUGCCCACAAGUGAGACAUAACUUCCUGUCGAGGUCGUUAAAUUUGAUAAAGAGCAGACCUUUUAAGCUAAAGUUCAGCGGUUAGCUGUUAAUCGGGUAACAUGAAGCAAAGAUAUCCUCAGUAUUGCCUCAGUAUUGCAUCUGUGCUUUUUGCAGAUGAUGUGGUUCUGUUGGCUUCAUCAAGCCGUGAUCUCCAACACUCAUUGGAGCGGUUCGCAGCAGAGUGUAAAGCGGCUGGGAUGAGAAUCAGCAUCUCCAAAUCUGAGACCAGGGUCCUCAGUCGGAAAAGGGUGGAGUGACCUCUCCGGUUCGGGGAUGAGAUCCUGCUCCAAGUGGAGGAGUUCAAAUAUCUUGGGGUCUUGUUCAUGAGUGAGGGAAGAAUGGAAUGAGAGAUCGACAAGCGGAUCGGUGCAGCGUCUGCAGUGAUGCGGCCUUUGUAUCGGAUGUCCGUUCUGGUGAAGAAUGAGCUCAGACAAAAGGUGAAGCUCUCGAUUUACCGGUCGAUCUACGUUCCUACCCUCACCUAUGGUCAUGAGCUGUGGGUCGUGACCGAAAGAACAAGAUCCCGGAUACAAGCGGCCGAAAUGAGUUUCCUUCGCAGGGUGUCCGGGCUUUCCCUUAGAGAUAGGGUGAGAAUCUCGGUCACCCGGGAGGAGCUCGGAGUAGAGCCGCUGCUCCUCCGCAUUGAGAGGAGCCAGAUGAGGUGUCUCUGGCAUCUAAUUAGGAUGCCUCCCGGACGCCUCCCUGGUGAGGUGUUCCGGGCACGACCCACCGGGAGCAGACCCCGGGGACAACCCAGGACACACUGGAGAGACUAUGACUCUCGGCUGGCCCGGGAACGCCUCGGGAUCCCCUCGAAAGAGCUGGAGGAAGUGGCCGGGGAGAGGGAAGUGUCCCGACCUCAGAUAAGCGGAGGAAAAUGGAUGGAUGGAUAGGUAACAUGACACAAAGAUAUUGUCAAUUGAAGAUGAAGAUUCCAAAAGUCAUGUUUCUGUAAUAGGCUUGUAUUUAAUCUUGCAGAAAUGUCUGUUUGGAUGGAUUGUGUACCUGUGAGGUGGAAAGCAGGCCUGAGCGAAGGGAACUCCAAGUCCCAGCAGAUGGCAUUAUGAUGGGGGUGGCCGUGUCCGGUGACCAGGCGCCUGGUGACCUCUGCCCAGCCCAGAGAGCAGAUCUGCAGUCGGGGUGGUUACAUACAAGAGUCACCGGUGGACAGUCACGGCGUCAGCGCUUGUGUGACGUUCAGCACCUGUGAGUUGGUGUCUGCGGAACCGACGCAAGUCGCCGACUCGAUGUCCCAAAUUCGAAGUUGCCCGUCCUUCCAUCCUCCACCUGUGGCUAUCACAUUGCCCUUCCAGGGACACCACCCCAUCGCCUGAACACACACACGCUUAUCAUAACUCAUUGACACCUUGACAGCGCUAGGCUGCUUCAUUGUGGCGACUGGCCGAUGUGACCCUGUGACAUCACGGUCCCAGAUGUGGAGGAGGCCGUCUGCGGAGCCGCUGGCCAGCCACUCACCACCGGGGGACCACUGAAGGCUGCACAAACCCUCCUGUUGGAUCACCGUGCCCACUAAAGGAGAUGGAGCCCGUGGGUCAUUGUGAUGAAUGUGUCCCAGGGUGGAGCCACUGUCGAAAAUAAAUAAAGAAAUAAAAAGCUACAUAUCCUGCUACCACUCUUAUAAUGUGAGAAACCUUUUCCCAUUCCAAUUCAUAAAUGGGUUAAUAAUGGUAGGCAACGUACUGUAGUCCCCUUAACAUGUCUGCCUCACAGUUCUAAGGUUCUGGAUGGGAAUCUUGUCUCCAGCCUUCUUGUUUGGUAUUUGCAUGUUCCAAAAACAUGUAUGCUAAGUUAAUUGAAAAUUUUACAUACAUAAGCGGGAUGCAAACUUUUGUCCUC